GCAUGAGAAUCGCUUGAACCCAGGAGGUAGAGGUCAUGGUGAGCCAAACUCCUGCCAUUGCACUCCAGCCUAGGCAACAAGACCAAAACUCUGUCUCAAAAAAAAAAAAAAAAAAAAAAGAA
This is a long non-coding RNA of Sapajus apella (tufted capuchin), 122 nucleotides long. RefSeq lists it as uncharacterized. The record is from RefSeq and is a predicted model, not a curated record. NCBI's taxonomy places the organism in Eukaryota, Metazoa, Chordata, Mammalia, Primates, Cebidae. The transcript is spliced from 2 exons.